Non-coding RNA from Pelobates cultripes (western spadefoot toad), 76 nucleotides. The record is from the annotation of a GenBank genome assembly. Lineage: Eukaryota; Metazoa; Chordata; Amphibia; Anura; Pelobatidae.
UGUCUCUGUACCAUGCUCCCUCGCGGUUCCCACAAUGCCCAGCACAGGAACCGCGAGGGAGCAUGGUACAGAGACA